This 253-nucleotide ribosomal RNA is filed under the name uncultured bacterium. RNAcentral's name for it is "partial 16S ribosomal RNA". It matches the Rfam family "Bacterial small subunit ribosomal RNA", at positions 524 to 776 of the family's 1533-position model. The record is from RNAcentral.
UACGUAGGGGGCAAGCGUUGUCCGGAAUCAUUGGGCGUAAAGCGCGUGUAGGCGGCCCGGUAAGUCCGCUGUGAAAGUCGGGGGCUCAACCCUCGAAUGCCGGUGGAUACUGUCGGGCUAGAGUGCGGAAGAGGCGAGUGGAAUUUCUGGUGUAGCGGUGAAAUGCGCAGAUAUCAGGAGGAACACCAAUUGCGAAGGCAGCUCGCUGGGACGUGACUGACGCUGAGACGCGAAAGCGUGGGGAGCAAACAGG